GAUGAAGAACGUAGCGAAAUGCGAUACUUGGUGUGAAUUGCAGAAUCCCGUGAACCAUCGAGUCUUUGAACGCAAGUUGCGCCCGAAGCCAUCAGGUUGAGGGCACGUCUGCCUGGGCGUCACAUAUCGUUGCCCAAUGCCUAUUGCAGUGCAAUAGGAAUUUCUAGGGCGAAUGAUGGCUUCCCGUGAGCGUUGUUGCCUCGCGGUUGGUUGAAAAUCGAGUCCUUGGUAGGGUGUGCCAUGGUAGAUGGUGGUCGAGUUAGAACGAUACCGAUCAUGUGCAUGCUCCCCAAAAUAUGGCCUCUAUGACCCACACGCGUCUUUUGACGCUCAUGACGAGACCUCAGGUCAGGCGGGGCUACCAGCUGAAUUUAAGCAUAUCAAUAAGCGGAGG
RNAcentral lists this unclassified non-coding RNA (394 nucleotides) under soil metagenome. RNAcentral's name for it is "partial contains 5.8S ribosomal RNA, internal transcribed spacer 2, and large subunit ribosomal RNA". The stretch from base 1 to 122 matches the Rfam family "5.8S ribosomal RNA", at positions 35 to 154 of the family's 154-position model. The record is from RNAcentral.